CAUUGAGUGACUGAAGUAUUAAGUGUUGGCCUUUUAAGCCAAUUAUAGUAGUUAUUUACUCUCAAUGG
This 68-nucleotide transfer RNA is filed under the name Dardanus aspersus. Its description in RNAcentral is "tRNA-Lys". It matches the Rfam family "tRNA". Rfam says of the family: Transfer RNA (tRNA) molecules are approximately 80 nucleotides in length. Their secondary structure includes four short double-helical elements and three loops (D, anti-codon, and T loops). Further hydrogen bonds mediate the characteristic L-shaped molecular structure. tRNAs have two regions of fundamental functional importance: the anti-codon, which is responsible for specific mRNA codon recognition, and the 3' end, to which the tRNAs corresponding amino acid is attached (by aminoacyl-tRNA synthetases). tRNAs cope with the degeneracy of the genetic code in two manners: having more than one tRNA (with a specific anti-codon) for a particular amino acid; and 'wobble' base-pairing, i.e. permitting non-standard base-pairing at the 3rd anti-codon position. Lineage: Eukaryota; Metazoa; Arthropoda; Malacostraca; Decapoda; Diogenidae. The record is from RNAcentral.